RNAcentral lists this ribosomal RNA (796 nucleotides) under uncultured Bacteroidota bacterium. Its description in RNAcentral is "bacterial SSU rRNA". It matches the Rfam family "Bacterial small subunit ribosomal RNA", at positions 8 to 796 of the family's 1533-position model. The record is from RNAcentral. Lineage: Bacteria; Pseudomonadati; Bacteroidota.
AGAGUUUGAUCAUGGCUCAGGACGAACGCUGGCGGCGGGCUUAACACAUGCAAGUUGAAGGAGAAGUCUUGACUUCGGUUGAGAUGGAGACUGGCGCACGGGUGAGUAACGCGUAGACAACCUGCCUAUAUCUGGGGGAUAACCGCCCGAAAGGGUGGCUAAUACCGCAUAAUGCAGCGGGGCCGCAUGGCCACAGUUGUUAAAGGUUUCGGCCGGAUAUAGAUGGGUCUGCGUGCUAUUAGUUAGUUGGUAAGGUAACGGCUUACCAAGGCGAUGAUAGCUAGGGGGUCUGAGAGGAUGAUCCCCCACACUGGGACUGAGACACGGCCCAGACUCCUACGGGAGGCAGCAGUGAGGAAUCUUGCGCAAUGGAGGAAACUCUGACGCAGCCACGCCGCGUGCCGGAAGACGGCCCUACGGGUUGUAAACGGCUUUUAUUUGGGAAGAACCCGGGAGAUUUGUCUCCCACUGACGGUACCUAUUGAACAAGCACCGGCUAACUCCGUGCCAGCAGCCGCGGUAAUACGGAGGGUGCAAGCGUUGUCCGGAAUCAUUGGGUGUAAAGGGUGCGCAGGCUGGCGCCUAAGUCGGAGGUGAAAUCUUGCCGCUUAACGGUAAAAUGGCCUCCGAUACUGGGUGUCUUGAAUCUGACAGAGGUCGGUGGAAUUCGUGGUGUAGCGGUGAAAUGCAUAGAUAUCACGAAGAACAUCAGUGGCGAAGGCGGCCGGCUGGGUCAGUAUUGACGCUGAGGCACGAGAGCGUGGGGAGCGAACAGGAUUAGAUACCCUGGUAGUCC